AGGGCUUAAAUGGGAAUUGACAGACUGGGAAACUAGUCCUCCUUCGGGCAAUUUUCAAGGUGCUGCAUGGUUGUCGUCAGCUCGUGCCGUGAGGUGUUGGGUUAAGUCCCGCAACGAGCGCAACCCCUACUGUUAGUUGCCAGCAUGUAAUGAUGGGGACUCUAGCAGAACUGCCAGCGCAAGCUGUGAGGAAGGUGGGGAUGACGUCAAAUCAUCACGGCCCUUACGUCCUGGGCUACACACGUGCUACAAUGGUCGAUACAGAGGGCAGCCACCUGGUGACAGGGAGCAAAUCCUUAAAAUCGAUCUCAGUUCGGAUUGGAGUCUGCAACUCGACUCUAUGAAGCUGGAAUCGCUAGUAAUCGCGCAUCAGCCAUGGCGCGGUGAAUACGUUCCCGGGCC
This 402-nucleotide ribosomal RNA is filed under the name uncultured bacterium. RNAcentral describes it as "bacterial SSU rRNA". It matches the Rfam family "Bacterial small subunit ribosomal RNA", at positions 976 to 1380 of the family's 1533-position model. The record is from RNAcentral.